AUGGCCUUCCAAGCUGGACAGUGGCACCUCGGGUUUCGAAGCUCCUUAGGACAAGCCAAGAGUAACAACUGGACUACACUGCGAGCCGUCCUACCACUCAUGCUUCCAGAUUAUCCGGACACGGUAUCCUGGCAGCCCACAACAAUGGCAGAGUUCUCAGUGAGCACGGCAUACCAUGUCCUUUGCCCGCCUCCAACUACUCCCUGACUUUCCCCUCUAUGGAAAGCCCCCAUUCCUUUAAAGAUUAAGAUUUUUGUUUGGUAACUUCUACGGGACCGUCUCCCCUUGAAGACAGAGGUACUUAAGCGGCACGGACUUGGUGAUGGUCUAUGCCCUCUCUGUGUGGUACCUGAGACCGGGACCCAUAUCCUCUUCUCGUGUAUGACAACAAGGGUACUUUGGACGUACGUCCGCGAGGCGUUGGGGCCUGACUGGGAGGCCCAAAAUCUCAUGGACUUUCUCUAGCUUAGGGUUUUAUAGCCUUCACGGCAUUGCCGCCUAUUCUGGCUUAUUUUUGCGGCGAUGUCAUGGACUCUUUGGAUGACUAGGAAUAACAUGGUGAUCAAGAAGGUUUUCCCAAGAGCAUCUGACUCCUUCUUCAAAUUCCUUGCUUUCUUGCAGCACUGGCACCCGCUCUCGAGGCAGCGUGAUUGUGAUCGGCUUGGGCUGAUGAUGGAUGCACUUUUGGCUUUGGCGUGUCGACUAUCCUUCCCGUAG
This 717-nucleotide ribosomal RNA is filed under the name Triticum aestivum (bread wheat). RNAcentral describes it as "partial small subunit ribosomal RNA". The record is from RNAcentral. Lineage: Eukaryota; Viridiplantae; Streptophyta; Magnoliopsida; Poales; Poaceae.